RNAcentral lists this ribosomal RNA (376 nucleotides) under uncultured bacterium. Its description in RNAcentral is "bacterial SSU rRNA". It matches the Rfam family "Bacterial small subunit ribosomal RNA", at positions 523 to 898 of the family's 1533-position model. The record is from RNAcentral.
ACACGUAGGUGGCAAGCGUUAUUCGGAUUUACUGGGCGUAAAGGGUCCGCAGGGGGCCUGACAAGUCUGUCGUGAAAGGCCAAGGCUCAACCUUGGCACUGCGGUGGAAACAGUCGGGCUAGAGUCAGUGAGGGGCAGACGGAACACCUGGUGUAGCGGUGGAAUGCGUAGAUAUCAGGUGGAACACCUAUGGCGAAGGCGGUCUGCUGGCACAUGACUGACCCUCAGGGACGAAAGCGUGGGUAGCAAACAGGAUUAGAUACCCUGGUAGUCCACGCCGUAAACUUUGUGAACUAGAUGUGCCCGGGCUGGCCCCGGGCGUGUCCAAGCUAACGCGAUAAGUUCACCGCCUGGGGACUACGGCCGCAAGGCUAAA